UCUCCUGGAAAACGGGUGGUAAUGCCGGAUGCUCCAGUUGACCGCAUGGUCCUCUGGGAAAGCUUUUGCGGUAUGGGAUGGGGUCGCGUCCUAUCAGCUUGAUGGCGGGGUAACGGCCCACCAUGGCUUCGACGGGUAGCCGGCCUGAGAGGGCGACCGGCCACAUUGGGACUGAGAUACGGCCCAGACUCCUACGGGAGGCAGCAGUGGGGAAUAUUGCACAAUGGGCGCAAGCCUGAUGCAGCGACGCCGCGUGCGGGAUGACGGCCUUCGGGUUGUAAACCGCUUUUGACUGGGAGCAAGCCCUUCGGGGUGAGUGUACCUUUCGAAUAAGCACCGGCUAACUACGUGCCAGCAGCCGCGGUAAUACGUAGGGUGCAAGCGUUAUCCGGAAUUAUUGGGCGUAAAGGGCUCGUAGGCGGUUCGUCGCGUCCGGUGUGAAAGUCCAUCGCUUAACGGUGGAUCCGCGCCGGGUACGGGCGGGCUUGAGUGCGGUAGGGGAGACUGGAAUUCCCGGUGUAACGGUGGAAUGUGUAGAUAUC
This 542-nucleotide ribosomal RNA is filed under the name Bifidobacterium adolescentis. RNAcentral's name for it is "partial 16S ribosomal RNA". It matches the Rfam family "Bacterial small subunit ribosomal RNA", at positions 146 to 698 of the family's 1533-position model. The record is from RNAcentral. Lineage: Bacteria; Bacillati; Actinomycetota; Actinomycetes; Bifidobacteriales; Bifidobacteriaceae.